UCGUACUCAUUUUUUAUUACAUUUAUGAACUUGGAAUACCUCAUUGCAACGGUAGUUCCAAGCAGUCUUAAUAUCUCCUCGCUUGUAUGAAAGUUUGAAAAUGACGUUAAUGUAGCUUGCAAUUCAAUAUCAAUAUUUUUUUUCCAAGUGUUAUUAAAGCUUGUGAGUAUUUUGUUAAUAUAUUCUAGAUUAACUUCCCUUAAGCAGAAUUUUGAAUCAACAACUUGCAUUAUUCCAGAAUAUGAAUUAUUCAAGCGAUAUUCAAUAUAUUUUUGUGUGUAUUCACGGAAUAAAUGCUGAAAAUUAUCUAAAGAAAUUCCGUUUUUUCCUCGUAACACUGAAAUUAUUGCGUCAGCAUUGUUAAUUAUAAAUAUACAACCUUCUUCAGGCCCAAUGUAAUUUUCAUUUUGCAAAAAUUCAUUUGAUGACAGCAACCAAUUGAUUAGGGAUGAUUGAACUCUGUCAAUUAGUUUCUUUAUUUGAUCGUUGUGACCAUCUGGUUCAUCUAUUAGUUUUGUUAAAACCGUUAAUAAUUCUGAAACUCUGCGAGUAAUAGGAUUUAGAUGCGGUCGUUUGUCUGAAAUGCAUAAUUUGAUAAAUUCACGGUUUGAGAGAGAAGACAAUGAAUAAAUCUGUAAAAUAAUUGAAGACUCCAAUGAAAUGUAAAUUGCUUUACUUUGCAUGCCGUAAUAUUCAAACAAAGAACUUGAAUCUGUUAUAGCAUUUACAAAGACUUUCAACUUUGAUUCAGUAAGACGCUUAAAUUUGAGCAUUAUGUUGUACAAUAUUGAUAGCCCGAUAGUAUCGUUUGUUUUCAAUAUUGAAAGUUGAAAUAAUUCUAAAGUCCUUAUCAAAUGAUCACCAAAAAUUCGAUGUAGAAUAUCCUUUAAUGCACUAUCAAAAAGUUGCCUAGUAAAUUCGAAGAUCGAUAUGAAUGCCUUAUAUAUCAUCUUCUGUGAUUUAAAAAAAAUUUCCUCUAUUUUAAAUACCUUUUUUGGCUUUGAAAAAAAUGAUUCCUCUACAGGCUCACCGAUCAACAAAUAAAAGUUGUUUAAAAUUUGUUCUCUUUCGAAUAGUACUGAGUGAUAUUUGUCAUAAUCCUUGGAAGUAAUU
RNAcentral lists this non-coding RNA (1113 nucleotides) under Cryptosporidium parvum. Lineage: Eukaryota; Apicomplexa; Conoidasida; Eucoccidiorida; Cryptosporidiidae. The record is from RNAcentral.